Suricata suricatta (meerkat) is the source of this 2046-nucleotide long non-coding RNA. RefSeq lists it as uncharacterized. The transcript is spliced from 2 exons. The record is from RefSeq and is a predicted model, not a curated record. Lineage: Eukaryota; Metazoa; Chordata; Mammalia; Carnivora; Herpestidae.
CUCUGGCAGCAAGCAGCAGGGCCCUCCGGGCCCAGGAGCUUGUACAGGCUCUGAUUAAACAAACCUGCCUUCUCCCCUUCUCCAGCCCAAACUGUUUCAUCCAAGCCAAUCCCAGACCAUACACCACCAAGGACAAACAGCAACAACCCAGCACAGAGCUACACAGGGCCUGGAAAUUUGACACUACCCAACAUGGCAACAAACUGUCUUCUUCAUGUUCAAAAAUUCCCAUUCCCAUAGCACCCUUUUCUUACCUGAAAAAAAGAAAAGGCCAGGUGGUAUGCUAAUGAGUGUGAAUGUGCAAGGUAUGUCAGUGCCCUGAGAAGCACGUUUAAGGUGCAUCUUAAAUGGCACCUUAACCCCUAGGAAUCAGUCUCCUGUGGACGCUGGCCCCACCAUGACGGGCAGGAUGGGGAGACACUCUGGGGCAAAGGAGACGCCUACCUAGCACCCCACCCCAACAACUCACGCUCAUCGAGGGCAGUCUUCUCUCUAAUGACAACCUUGCCUGGUCCCCUCUACUCGCCCUCCCAUCCUCCAGAGAAUGGGGAAGCUGGCACCAGCCAGAAAGAAGCAAUGGGAAAUGGCGGUUUGAGAGGGAGAGACCAUAUGCUCACCUGAUGGGAUUCAUGUCAGGCCGACUGGGCUUGGAAACAGCUUUCACAAAUUUCUCAGCAAGCUGAAUUCUAAAGCACAAAACAGAGUCUCUCAGAGGCGAGCCAAGGUGCCUCCACGAGUACCCCUGCCUCCAGGGCAUUUCCAUGGCACCAGUGAGGGAACACUUCUGAACGUGGAGCCAAGCUGCUCCAAGAGGCAUCAGUCCUAUCCCCGAGGAAGCCCACACUGCCCUUCUCCACUAGUGUCAUGACGCAUGCCCACCUCUGUGCGUGUGGACAUCCAGUUUUGCUACAUGUUGGUAGGCUUUUCUGGUGUGCCUUGAGUUGUGCUCAGUCCCCUGCACUAGAACUUCUAAUAUCAUCUGUAUCGCAUAUGGCUACUCACCUCAAACCACUGAUGCCACCACACACCCACUCAGAAGAACCACCUUAGGAGGCAUAUCAGCACCAUGGCAAUGUGAGAGGUCCCUCCUUUUUGUCCCCCACCCCACUUCUAACAAGUGAUCGGGCGUCCAUCCACAAGCAAAAGGGCUGCUGUGGGAUCCAGAUAAACAGAUUUAAAUGGGACCACCCAUGCUCAAGACAUGUUCUUCAAGAGAUCUUCCCUCUCUCCUAAGGCUAUCCUCUUGCUCAACCUGAACACAAACAUCACUUCUGAUCUGAACAGCUGUGGCAAAAUGGAGUGUGCUGGUAUCUGUGGCAACGGAGGCCCACGCCCCAGCAAACUCUGCAGUGCAGACACCGAUUCCUCACCCGGCCCCUCGAACAAGCCCACGGUGGGAAAGGAAAACUAAUGAUCGCCAAGGAAGGCCUGGGUGAGGGACCAAGCCUCAGAGACUGCUGCCGCACACUGGCCUGGCCUACCCUGCCCUCCCUCCCCAGGACCCAAGUCAAACCGCUGGUUAAAGUGCUGCUCCCGCACGUCACUGCCAUUCAGCACGAGGACAUCGAGGAUGUGGAUGGCACUAAUCUUCCGCUGGGCCUUCCCCUAGAAGAAGAAGUGUGCUGCCUACCCUGCCAAGCAUCGGCCUGGGGCCCACUCUGCCCACGGUGGCAUGCUGACCUCCGCUCUACCUAUAUAUAGCCAGGGAAAGGAAGGACUCCAAACACAGAACUUUCUCAUGCCUCCCUCCCAGAUCAUUGUCAGCACCGCACUGGCCCAGACUUCUGAGCAGCCACAGAUCUGAGGCUUUAGGUGAUGAGCCCCCUUGAACCUCAAACUCAGUGAAGCUGCUGCAAUGGUGCUCUAGCCAGGGCCUAGCUUCCCAAUCUUGUCAACUGUUCCCCCUGACCAUUCUGAAAGUCAUCUGCUUGGCUAUCAUGGCCAAAGCUCAAGGGAUUCCUGGUAAAACCAAAAUCAGCAGCUAAAAAAUACCCAGCAGGCCCACUAGGGCCCAGGAUGCCCAAAGAUGACUGAGGUCCCCUCUUA